This 402-nucleotide ribosomal RNA is filed under the name uncultured bacterium. RNAcentral describes it as "bacterial SSU rRNA". It matches the Rfam family "Bacterial small subunit ribosomal RNA", at positions 116 to 509 of the family's 1533-position model. The record is from RNAcentral.
CGUAGGGACUACCUACGUUAGGAAACGAGGUGACUAACGUACCGGAAUAAAGAAAGCAGAUCGCAUGAUCAGUACGUUUUAAAAGGCGGCGUAAGCUGUCGCUAGUGGGAUCGGCCCCGCGGUGCAUUAGCUAGUUGGUAAGGUAAAGGCUUACCAAGGCGAUGAUGCAUAGCCGAGUUGAGAGACUGAUCGGCCACAUUGGGACUGAGACACGGCCCAAACUCCUACGGGAGGCAGCAGUAGGGAAUCUUCCACAAUGGACGCAAGUCUGAUGGAGCAACGCCGCGUGAGUGAAGAAGGUUUUCGGAUCGUAAAGCUCUGUUGUUGGUGAAGAAGGAUAGAGGUAGUAACUGGCCUUUAUUUGACGGUAAUCAACCAGAAAGUCACGGCUAACUACGUGCC